This 420-nucleotide long non-coding RNA is filed under the name Brassica napus (rape). RNAcentral describes it as "long non-coding RNA (BNAP_LNC023509)". Lineage: Eukaryota; Viridiplantae; Streptophyta; Magnoliopsida; Brassicales; Brassicaceae. The record is from RNAcentral.
AAAAAAAUUAGGUCUUUUUUUGUUCUUUGGACAGAAGAAAAAGGAGAAUCUUUUUUGAUAAAACAGAAUCUUCUUGUGCAGCAAAAAGCGAGUUCUUUCUUUUGCCCGUGAGAGAUUAAAAAUAGUUUUCUCGGGAAAACCAAAGAAACCCUUUUUUUUUGUUUUUUAUGAGAGUGGUUUCUUUUUCACAUGAAAUUCCACAAUUUCUGGAACAUGAGAGAUUCCGUGUUCUUCAAGACUUUGUUCUUUAACCCUUAACAAAGAAAUGGGUUUGUUUCAUUGGCUCCACUAAAAGAUUCGCUAUACCCUUUCCACUUACAAAAAGAUCCGUACUUUACUGUCUCAAUGUCUCGAACUAUGUUCUGUUCUGUUUUGUGUUGUGGUCUUUGAUUCUGAUGUUACUUUGUGAUUGUGACUUUC